CAGUUCGGAUUGUAGGCUGCAACUCGCCUACAUGAAGUCGGAGUUGCUAGUAAUCGCGGAUCAGAAUGCCGCGGUGAAUGCGUUCCCGGGUCUUGUACACACCGCCCGUCACACCAUGGAAGUUGGGGGCGCCCGAAGUUGCCUAAGAAAUAAGGUACCUAAGGCGAAACCAAUGACUGGGGUGAAGUCGUAACAAGGUACC
RNAcentral lists this ribosomal RNA (202 nucleotides) under uncultured bacterium. RNAcentral's name for it is "partial 16S ribosomal RNA". It matches the Rfam family "Bacterial small subunit ribosomal RNA", at positions 1289 to 1500 of the family's 1533-position model. The record is from RNAcentral.